CAUAGCUCGCUGCAGCCUCGAAUUCCUGGGCUCAAGAGAUCCUCCUGCCUUAGCCUCUGAGUAACUGGGACUACAAAAGGAUUUCUUGAUGUUGGAGUUUGCUCAGCCAGGGAAUGUGGAAAGUCCCCUGCUGAGAACCUUCGGACCAGACAAGAAAUCGGCCUGCCUCUUUUAUGAGAGUGGAGAUGGGCCCCUUGGGGCAGGACAGACCUGAUCCCUCCAGUGACAAAAGUUACCUGGUCAUUCCGGACUCCUGACGCCGCCAGUCCCGCGGUGAGACGUGAGCACCAUUGGCGUCCGUGGCCUCUGUUUCCGUGGCAACCCAGUAACCAUUAAUUUUCAAUUAAAGGAGACAAAAAGCUCGAUGACAGCUCCAGGUCUGCUGAAGAUGUCAAGAAUCUGUAUUAAUAUACAGCAAGAGAGCAUAAUUGUGUGUCCAUCUUCCAGAGCAGCGAAAAAUGGAGGGAUAAUUACCAGCUCGAAAGCCACUCUGUAAUUUAGUUCUUACUGUCACCACAGCCCUACACAUUAGCAUAAAUUAAAAGCAGAGUUUAUUGUUAUCAAAGUGCA
Long non-coding RNA from Cercocebus atys (sooty mangabey), 570 nucleotides. RefSeq lists it as uncharacterized. The record is from RefSeq and is a predicted model, not a curated record. The transcript has 2 exons. NCBI's taxonomy places the organism in Eukaryota, Metazoa, Chordata, Mammalia, Primates, Cercopithecidae.